AUUGAACGCUGGCGGCAUGCCUUACAUACGCAAGUCGAACGGUAACAGGUCUUCGGAUGCUGACGAGUGGCGAACGGGUGAGUAAUACAUCGGAACGUGCCUAGUAGUGGGGGAUAACUACUCGAAAGAGUGGCUAUUACCGCAUGAGAUCUACGGAUGAAAGCAGGGGAUCGCAGGACCUUGUGCUACUAGAGCGGCCGAUGGCAGAUUAGGUAGUUGGUGGGAUAAAAGCUUACCAAGCCGACGAUCUGUAGCUGGUCUGAGAGGACGAUCGGCCGCACUGGGACUGAGACACGGCCCAGACUCCUACGGGAGGCAGCAGUGGGGAAUUUUGGACAAUGGGCGCAAGCCUGAUUCAGCAAUGCCGCGUGCAGGAUGAAGGCCUUCGGGUUGUAAACUGCUUUUGUACGGAACGAAAAGCCCUGGGUUAAUACCCUGGGGUCAUGACGGUACCGUAAGAAUAAGCACCGGCUAACUACGUGCCAGCCGCCGCGGUAA
Molecule: ribosomal RNA, 498 nt
Filed under: uncultured bacterium
Lineage: Bacteria
Description: partial 16S ribosomal RNA
Rfam family: Bacterial small subunit ribosomal RNA
Source: RNAcentral